GAUAGUUAUUGUAACUAUACCGGUUUUCAAGACCGGAGCUAUCAACCACUCAGCCACCUCUC
RNAcentral lists this transfer RNA (62 nucleotides) under Agave shawii. RNAcentral describes it as "partial tRNA-Ser". Lineage: Eukaryota; Viridiplantae; Streptophyta; Magnoliopsida; Asparagales; Asparagaceae. The record is from RNAcentral.